Molecule: ribosomal RNA, 164 nt
Filed under: Bupleurum dalhousieanum
Lineage: Eukaryota; Viridiplantae; Streptophyta; Magnoliopsida; Apiales; Apiaceae
Description: 5.8S ribosomal RNA
Rfam family: 5.8S ribosomal RNA
About the family: 5.8S ribosomal RNA (5.8S rRNA) is a component of the large subunit of the eukaryotic ribosome. It is transcribed by RNA polymerase I as part of the 45S precursor that also contains 18S and 28S rRNA.
Source: RNAcentral
CUCUCGGCAACGGAUAUCCCGGCUCUCGCAUCGAUGAAGAACGUAGCGAAAUGCGAUACUUGGUGUGAAUUGCAGAAUCCCGUGAACCAUCGAGUUUUUGAACGCAAGUUGCGCCCGAUGCCAUUAGGCUGAGGGCACGUCUGCCUGGGAGUCACGUAAAGCUU